GACGAACGCUGGCGGCGUGCUUAACACAUGCAAGUCGAACGGAAAGGCCCUGCUUUUGUGGGGUGCUCGAGUGGCGAACGGGUGAGUAACACGUGAGUAACCUGCCCUUGACUUUGGGAUAACUUCAGGAAACUGGGGCUAAUACCGGAUAGGAGCUCCUGCUGCAUGGUGGGGGUUGGAAAGUUUCGGCGGUUGGGGGUGGACUCGCGGCUUAUCAGCUUGUUGGUGGGGUAGUGGCUUACCAAGGCUUUGACGGGUAGCCGGCCUGAGAGGGUGACCGGCCACAUUGGGACUGAGCUACGGCCCAGACUCCUACGGGAGGCAGCAGUGGGGAAUAUUGCACAAUGGGCGGAAGCCUGAUGCAGCAACGCCGCGUGCGGGAUGACGGCCUUCGGGUUGUAAACCGCUUUCGCCUGUGACGAAGCGUGAGUGACGGUAAUGGGUAAAGAAGCACCGGCUAACUACGUG
This 468-nucleotide ribosomal RNA is filed under the name uncultured bacterium. RNAcentral describes it as "partial 16S ribosomal RNA". It matches the Rfam family "Bacterial small subunit ribosomal RNA", at positions 28 to 507 of the family's 1533-position model. The record is from RNAcentral.